CCUACGGGAGGCAGCAGUGGGGAAUAUUGGGCAAUGGGCGAAAGCCUGACCCAGCAACGCCGCGUGAAGGAAGAAGGCUUUCGGGUUGUAAACUUCUUUUGUCAGGGAAGAGUAGAAGACGGUACCUGACGAAUAAGCCACGGCUAACUACGUGCCAGCAGCCGCGGUAAUACGUAGGUGGCAAGCUUUGUCCGGAUUUCCUGGGUGUAAAGGGCGUGUAGCCGGGUUGACAAGUCAGAUGUGAAAUCCUGCGGCUUAACCGCAGAACUGCAUUGGAAACUGUUGAUCUUGAGUACUGGAGAGGCAGACGGAAUUCCUAGUGUAGCGGUGAAAUGCGUAGAUAUUAGGAGGAACACCAGUGGCGAAGGCGGUCUGCUGGACAGCAACUGACGGUGAGGCGCGAAAGCGUGGGGAGCAAACAGGAUUAGAUACCCGUGUAGUC
Molecule: ribosomal RNA, 442 nt
Filed under: uncultured bacterium
Lineage: Bacteria
Description: partial 16S ribosomal RNA
Rfam family: Bacterial small subunit ribosomal RNA
Source: RNAcentral